RNAcentral lists this ribosomal RNA (448 nucleotides) under uncultured bacterium. RNAcentral describes it as "SSU rRNA". It matches the Rfam family "Bacterial small subunit ribosomal RNA", at positions 26 to 518 of the family's 1533-position model. The record is from RNAcentral.
AGAGCGAACGCUGGCGGCAGGCUUAACACAUGCAAGUCGAGCGGGCGUAGCAAUACGUCAGCGGCGGACGGGUGAGUAACGCGUGGGAACGUACCUUUUGGUUCGGAACAACACAGGGAAACUUGUGCUAAUACCGGAUAAGCCCUUACGGGGAAAGAUUUAUCGCCGAAAGAUCGGCCCGCGUCUGAUUAGCUAGUUGGUGAGGUAACGGCUCACCAAGGCGACGAUCAGUAGCUGGUCUGAGAGGAUGAUCAGCCACAUUGGGACUGAGACACGGCCCAAACUCCUACGGGAGGCAGCAGUGGGGAAUAUUGGACAAUGGGCGCAAGCCUGAUCCAGCCAUGCCGCGUGAGUGAUGAAGGCCCUAGGGUUGUAAAGCUCUUUUGUGCGGGAAGAUAAUGACGGUACCGCAAGAAUAAGCCCCGGCUAACUUCGUGCCAGCAGCCGC